GACGAACGCUGGCGGCGUGCUUAACACAUGCAAGUCGAACGGUGACCCAGGGCUUGCCCUGGUGAUCAGUGGCGAACGGGUGAGUAACACGUGGGCAACCUGCCCCCUGACUUCGGGAUAACUCCUCGAAAGAGGAGCUAAUACCGGAUACGACCACUUCGGACAUCCGAUGGUGGUGGAAAGUUUUUCGGUCAGGGAUGGGCCCGCGGCCUAUCAGCUAGUUGGUGGGGUAAUGGCCUACCAAGGCGACGACGGGUAGCCGGCCUGAGAGGGCGACCGGCCACACUGGGACUGAGACACGGCCCAGACUCCUACGGGAGGCAGCAGUGGGGAAUAUUGCGCAAUGGGCGAAAGCCUGACGCAGCGACGCCGCGUGAGGGAUGAAGGCCUUCGGGUUGUAACCUCUUUCUAGCAGGACGAAGCGAAAGUGACGGUACCGUGCAGAAGAAGCACCGGCGUAACUACGUGCCAGCAGCCGCGGUAA
Molecule: ribosomal RNA, 484 nt
Filed under: uncultured bacterium
Lineage: Bacteria
Description: bacterial SSU rRNA
Rfam family: Bacterial small subunit ribosomal RNA
Source: RNAcentral